RNAcentral lists this ribosomal RNA (253 nucleotides) under uncultured bacterium. Its description in RNAcentral is "partial 16S ribosomal RNA". It matches the Rfam family "Bacterial small subunit ribosomal RNA", at positions 524 to 776 of the family's 1533-position model. The record is from RNAcentral.
UACAGAGGUCCCAAGCGUUGUUCGGAUUCAUUGGGCGUAAAGGGUGCGUAGGCGGCUCAUUAAGUCAGUGGUGAAAUACCCCGGCUCAACCGGGGGGGUGCCAUUGAUACUGAUAGGCUUGAGUACAGACGAGGCAGGCGGAAUUGACGGUGUAGCGGUGAAAUGCAUAGAUAUCGUCAAGAACACCUAUAGCGAAGGCAGCUUGCUAGACUGGCACUGACGCUGAGGCACGAAAGCGUGGGGAUCAAACAGG